GCCGAGGUAGCUCAGUUGGUAGAGCGGAGGUAUCGUAAACCUCAGGUCGCGAGUUCAAUCCUCGCCCUCGGCU
RNAcentral lists this transfer RNA (73 nucleotides) under Patescibacteria group bacterium. RNAcentral describes it as "tRNA-Thr". It matches the Rfam family "tRNA". Rfam says of the family: Transfer RNA (tRNA) molecules are approximately 80 nucleotides in length. Their secondary structure includes four short double-helical elements and three loops (D, anti-codon, and T loops). The record is from RNAcentral.